UACGUAGGGAGCAAGCGUUGUUCGGAUUUACUGGGCGUAAAGGGCGCGUAGGCGGCAAUUCAAGUCAUCUGUGAAAUCUCCGGGCUUAACUCGGAACGGUCAGAUGAUACUGUUUUGCUAGAGUGCAGAAGGGGCAAUCGGAAUUCUUGGUGUAGCGGUGAAAUGCGUAGAUAUCAAGAGGAACACCUGAGGUGAAGACGGGUUGCUGGGCCUGACACCUGACGCUGAGGCGCGAAAGCCAGGGGAGCAAACGGG
Molecule: ribosomal RNA, 255 nt
Filed under: uncultured bacterium
Lineage: Bacteria
Description: partial 16S ribosomal RNA
Rfam family: Bacterial small subunit ribosomal RNA
Source: RNAcentral